GAUGAAGAACGUAGCGAAAUGCGAUACGUAGUGUGAAUUGCAGAAUUCCGUGAAUCAUCGAAUCUUUGAACGCACAUUGCGCCCCCUGGUAUUCCGGGGGGCAUGCCUGUCCGAGCGUCAUUACAACCCUCAAGCUCAGCUUGGUGUUGGGCCCCGCCGCCCCGGCGGGCCCUAAAGUCAGUGGCGGUGCCGUCCGGCUCCGAGCGUAGUAAUUCUUCUCGCUCUGGAGGUCCGGUCGUGUGCUCGCCAGCAACCCCCAAUUUUUUUCAGGUUGACCUCGGAUCAGGUAGGGAUACCCGCUGAACUUAAGCAUAUCAAUAAGCGGAGGA
Molecule: unclassified non-coding RNA, 329 nt
Filed under: soil metagenome
Description: partial contains 5.8S ribosomal RNA, internal transcribed spacer 2, and large subunit ribosomal RNA
Rfam family: 5.8S ribosomal RNA (bases 1-120)
Source: RNAcentral